UUUAUUAAAGGGCUGCAGUAUUUUGACUGUACAAAGGUAGCAUAAUCAAUAGUCUCUUAAUUAGUGACUUGUAUGAAAGAUUGGAUGAAAUAUAUUCUGUCUCUAAUUAAUUUAUAGAAAUUAAUUUUUUAGUAAAAAAGCUAAAAUAAUUUUAAAAGACGAGAAGACCCUAUAGAGUUUAAUAAUUUAUUUAAUUAUUAUUAAUAUAUAAUUUUUAAAAUUAAAAUUAAAUAAAUUAUUUUGUUGGGGUGAUAGAAAAAUUAAAUUAACUUUUUUUAUUUAUUAACAUUAAUUUAUGAUUAGAUGAUCCAUUAAUAAUGAUUAAAAGAAAAAAUUACCUUAGGGAUAACAGCGUAAUUUUUUUUUUUAUUUCAAAUAGGAAAAAAAGUUUGCGACCCCGAGGUGGGAUAAGGAUAAAAUUCAAAUGCAAAAGUUUAAAAUUU
Molecule: ribosomal RNA, 443 nt
Filed under: Papilio polytes (common Mormon)
Lineage: Eukaryota; Metazoa; Arthropoda; Insecta; Lepidoptera; Papilionidae
Description: partial 16S ribosomal RNA
Source: RNAcentral